GAACCUAGCUGACCCAUUCACUAAAGCCCUUUCUGUAAAGGAGUUCGAUUAUCACAAAUCAAAGAUGGGUAUUGUAGUCGUAGCCCACGCCGGAACCCACUCACACCAGCGCCGCCACCGACGUCGGACAAGCAAGAGAGAUACAAACGGAUAAGCACUCUCUCGCUCCCUCGACUCCGGACUCAAGGAUCACCUCUUCGCUCCGCCUACGAAGGGCAAAAGAUUACCCCGUGGUAUCAGUAGGGUAAAACACUUGAGCACCGCAACGGAUUAU
This 274-nucleotide long non-coding RNA is filed under the name Phoenix dactylifera (date palm). RNAcentral's name for it is "long non-coding RNA (PDAC_LNC016008)". Lineage: Eukaryota; Viridiplantae; Streptophyta; Magnoliopsida; Arecales; Arecaceae. The record is from RNAcentral.